GUUAGGCUCUGCUACAUAAGCAGUUGGGUUCAUGCCCCAAAAACGGUAUUUAUACCUCCUAACA
RNAcentral lists this transfer RNA (64 nucleotides) under Phrynocephalus theobaldi (Theobald's toad-headed agama). RNAcentral's name for it is "tRNA-Met". The record is from RNAcentral. Lineage: Eukaryota; Metazoa; Chordata; Lepidosauria; Squamata; Agamidae. RNAcentral also lists the same sequence under 1 other name.